ACACGACUACAUUAGAUACCCCUGUAGUCCAGGGUGUAAACGCUGCAGACUUGGUGUUGGGAACCCUUCGGGGGUGCUCAGUGCCGGAGAGAAGUUGUUAAGUCUGCUACGUUGGGAGUACGUCCGCAAGGAUGAAACUUAAAGGAAUUGGGCGGGGGAGCACCGCAACGGGAGGAGCGUGCGGUUUAAUUGGAUUCAACGACCGAAAAACUCACCAGCAGCGACUGUUACAUGAAAGUCAGGUUGAUGACCUUACUAGAUUUUCAG
This 267-nucleotide ribosomal RNA is filed under the name uncultured archaeon. Its description in RNAcentral is "partial 16S ribosomal RNA". It matches the Rfam family "Archaeal small subunit ribosomal RNA", at positions 717 to 982 of the family's 1478-position model. The record is from RNAcentral.